GACCCGUCUUGAAACACGGACCAAGGAGUGUAACACAUAUGCGAGUUUGCGGGUUAAAAAACCCAUAAGCGCAAUGAAAGUGAGUAUAAGGUGUGAUACUUCUAAAAUGGAAGUAGCAACAUCGACCGACCUUGAUCUUCUGUGAAGGGUUUGAGUAAGAGCAUAUUUGUUACGACCCGAAAGAUGGUGAACUAUACUUGAGCAGCCUGAAGCCUGAGGAAACUCAGGUGGAAGGGCGCAGCGGUACUGACGUGCAAAUCGUUCGUCAGACUUGAGUAUAGGGGCGAAAGACUAAUCGAACCAUCUAGUAGCUGGUUCCCUCUGAAAUUUCUCUCAGGAUAGCUGGAACAAUUUCAAGCAGUUUUAUCAGGUAAAGCGAAUGAUUAGAGGACUCGGAGCUCAAAGAGCUUUGACCUAUUCUCAAACUUUAAAUUGGUAAGAUCUACCCGUUCUCUUAAUUGAACUGGUGGGCAGAAUGCAAUGUUCCAAGUGGGCUUAUCGUGGUAAGCAUGUUAAGCAAUGAGGGAUGAACCUAACGCUGAGAUAAGGCGCCUAAAUUCCCGCUCAUCAGAUACCAUAAAAGGUGUUGAUUCAUAUAGACAGCAGGACGGUGGCCAUGGAAGUCGGAAUCCGCUAAGGUGUGUGU
RNAcentral lists this ribosomal RNA (646 nucleotides) under uncultured ciliate. RNAcentral describes it as "LSU rRNA". It matches the Rfam family "Eukaryotic large subunit ribosomal RNA", at positions 646 to 1283 of the family's 3401-position model. Lineage: Eukaryota; Ciliophora. The record is from RNAcentral.